UACGGGGCUGCAUCAGUCAACAAAGUGGAGCCGACUAAGACUAACGUGUUUUAAUUUUGCUCCGCGGUGUGUCAGCUCAGAAAACGGAAACUACGAGAAAAAUGGCAUCUCGCGCUGUUCAGUUUGUGUUUUUUGUAGUGGUGGUGAUUGCGUUGAUUCAAGACAUAAGCUGUCUUAGCUGCGCGUUUGGAAAUUCGGCGGGUCGAGUUAGCACUCAGUGCGGUGCAGGUGAAACGAAAUGCUCCUCAUAUAAACUGGGCACUGCAUUGACUUACAAGUGCGGCCCUUGUCAGGCGACGACGUUGGUCUUACCCGUGACUGAGUGUAAAGAAUGCACCACAGAUAAUUGCAACAGUGCCAAAGCCAUAUCCUCCAAUUCCAUCUUUAUGACUCUCGUGUUUUCUAUUUCCACAUGGCUGCUCGCCCGUAUGACAACUUAAGAAUCAUGUAUGCACAACGAUAAUUGUUUUGACUUUUAAAGACGGGACAUAUGAAGUUCUCUCAAAAAGAAAGUACAAAACUCCGUCCUCCUUUUAGCUUUUAGCCUGCAAACGUAAUUAACACCAGAAACGAGGUUACAUAAUGGUUACAUUUAUAUUGUCCCCUAAUUUGAUAUCGUAUAGUAUGCUGUUCCAAGCUAUGUACAAAUAUCCAGUGAACGCUGAGUGAAACUGUAGAUGUUUUGUUCGGACUUCAGAUUAUCACCGUAGAAAAGUCUUUAUUGUUAUUGCUUUAAACUUGCUUUUCUCUGAGUUAAAUUUAUAUGUUACAUGCAGAACAUGAUCGUGAUGCCCUGUAGGACGAACUCGUUGCCACUAGUGAAGCUAAGGUCUAUUUUCCUUCAAGCACGUAAUGUUGCUAAUAUGCCGUGUUUAGAUCAUAUUCAUCAUGUUUUAUUAACCAUUCACCCAACUACUUGACUGUUUAUUGUAACCCGCAAUAAGGUGGUUAACAACGACUGACCACCCCUUAGAUUAUUAAUCAUAAAAAACCAUGAAUACAUGUAUCUUGUGUCACUUUUAUCACUUUACCCAUGUGCAAGACAGAAGUUCAUCGUAACUUGUCCCCUAGUAAACAAUACAUUAUGUAAGACGGAGUUCCAUGACCGGGUCGGCCUUGAGUGAACUUCAUGUAUUCAAUUGUACUUCUGACUGCUUGAAUGAACCUGGUUAUGACUUAAAUAAGGCUCACUUGUUUUCGUUUGGUCGUACAUUCAUAUGUGUUAUGUAAAGCACUAUUACCUAAGAUCUUUAGGUGUGCCAAAUAUUCUGUUGUGGCAGGCAGAAGGCCUUGGAAGUCGCUGCUGCAAAGAGCAAGAUUCACUAUUCGACUUGAAGAUGGAGGUCGUCAAACAUACAGUGUCGACGGUAAACCGUGUCGACACUAGGCCUAUAUAACCGAUUCUGCUGCAUUUGUUUCACAUAUGCUCAUUGCACGUAAAGGCCUUUUGUACUUGCACCCCUCAAGCUACAGUAUCAAGUUCACUUGAUUUUAUUUGAUACCUACAUGUAUAUCUGAAGUAACAUUUAUUAAGACUCUUGUAUUGUUCUUUCCAUCAAUUUUCAUCAAUAUUCUACAAGUUGUUGUAUUCUUAUUGGGGUAUAUAUAUUCCGUCUGUAUUCCUUCUGAUACUUUGGAUUUGCACGAAGAGUGACUUUAUGUACAAUCUCAUUUGGAUUGAUCUCACUGCGGCAUAUAAUGUAUAAUAAAUAUUUAGUACCAGUAGUUAUUAAUAUAUCUUUGUAGACAUCUACAUGUCACGUGUAAUACAAUAAAGCAGAUUUCUGUCAAA
Molecule: long non-coding RNA, 1792 nt
Organism: Lineus longissimus
Lineage: Eukaryota; Metazoa; Nemertea; Pilidiophora; Heteronemertea; Lineidae
Exons: 3
Source: RefSeq, a predicted model, not a curated record